This 253-nucleotide ribosomal RNA is filed under the name uncultured bacterium. RNAcentral's name for it is "partial 16S ribosomal RNA". It matches the Rfam family "Bacterial small subunit ribosomal RNA", at positions 524 to 776 of the family's 1533-position model. The record is from RNAcentral.
UACGGAGGUGGCGAGCGUUGUCCGAAGUUACUGGGCGUAAAGCGCGCGUAGGCGGGCUGUUAAGUCGGAAGUGAAAGGCUGGGGCUCAACCCCAGCAGUGCUUCCGAUACUGGCAGUCUUGAGGGCGGUAGGGAGAAGUGGAAUGGCUGGUGUAACGGUGAAAUGUGUAGAUAUCAGUCGGAACACCGGUAGCGAAGGCGGCUUCUUGGGCCGUUCCUGACGCUGAGGCGCGAAAGCCAGGGGAGCAAACGGG